UCCCCGUUGGUGUAACGGUAGCACAGCAGCCUCUGGAGCUGUUGGUCUUGGUUCGAAUCCAGGAUGGGGAGC
RNAcentral lists this transfer RNA (72 nucleotides) under Microbacterium phage PauloDiaboli. RNAcentral's name for it is "tRNA-Gln". It matches the Rfam family "tRNA". From Rfam's summary of the family: Transfer RNA (tRNA) molecules are approximately 80 nucleotides in length. Their secondary structure includes four short double-helical elements and three loops (D, anti-codon, and T loops). Further hydrogen bonds mediate the characteristic L-shaped molecular structure. tRNAs have two regions of fundamental functional importance: the anti-codon, which is responsible for specific mRNA codon recognition, and the 3' end, to which the tRNAs corresponding amino acid is attached (by aminoacyl-tRNA synthetases). tRNAs cope with the degeneracy of the genetic code in two manners: having more than one tRNA (with a specific anti-codon) for a particular amino acid; and 'wobble' base-pairing, i.e. permitting non-standard base-pairing at the 3rd anti-codon position. Lineage: Duplodnaviria; Heunggongvirae; Uroviricota; Caudoviricetes. RNAcentral also lists the same sequence under 2 other names. The record is from RNAcentral.